RNAcentral lists this ribosomal RNA (258 nucleotides) under uncultured bacterium. RNAcentral describes it as "partial 16S ribosomal RNA". It matches the Rfam family "Bacterial small subunit ribosomal RNA", at positions 524 to 776 of the family's 1533-position model. The record is from RNAcentral.
UACGUAGGCAGCAAGCGUUGUUCGGAGUUAACUGGGCGUAAAGGGUGCGUUAGGCGGCUUUUUAAGUUUGGUUGUGAAAUCUCCCGGCUCAACUGGGAGGGUGCGCCGAAUACUGAGAGGCUAGAGUUGUGGGAGAGGAAAGUGGAAUUCCUGGUGUAGCGGUGAAAUGUCGUAGAUAUCAGGAGGAACACCGGUGGUGUAAACGGCUUUCUGGACCAUAACUGACGCUGAGGCACGAAAGCGUGGGUAGCAAACAGG